CAGCCGCCGCGGGAAUACGUAGGUGGCAAGCGUUGUCCGGAAUUAUUGGGCGUAAAGGGCUCGCAGGCGGUUUCUUAAGUCUGAUGUGAAAGCCCCCGGCUCAACCCCAGAAUUGCCUUUAAGACUGCCGAGCUAGUAGGUGAGAGAGGUAAGUGGAAUUCCGAGUGUAGAGGUGAAAUUCGUAGAUAUUCGGAAGAACACCAGUGGCGAAGGCGGCUUACUGGCUCAUUCUAGACGCUGAGGUGCGAAAGCGUGGGGAGCAAACAGGAUUAGAUACCCCAGUAGUCCCUGUCUCUUAUAC
RNAcentral lists this ribosomal RNA (301 nucleotides) under uncultured bacterium. RNAcentral describes it as "partial 16S ribosomal RNA". It matches the Rfam family "Bacterial small subunit ribosomal RNA", at positions 509 to 807 of the family's 1533-position model. The record is from RNAcentral.